Corylus avellana is the source of this 2176-nucleotide long non-coding RNA. RefSeq lists it as uncharacterized. Lineage: Eukaryota; Viridiplantae; Streptophyta; Magnoliopsida; Fagales; Betulaceae. The record is from RefSeq and is a predicted model, not a curated record.
UUUUAUUUUAAACAGAAAUAUUAACGAAAAUUUCUCAGGCGGGAGUUUUUGGCGCACGAAAAUUUCCCACCAAUAUCAAAUGAAAAUUUUUGAUCACCACCCAAACCCUCCCUCACCCUUUCCCUCUGUUCUGCGUAAGUCUCAACAUACUCUUUCAGAAACCCUAGAGAUUUCCCGAGACUCUAAAAUCCCUAAUGUCUCUCGCUCUCUCUUUCUUUCUCUCUCUCUGCCUUAGCUUUGUGUCUUCAGAGCUCAAAUCCAGCGUAUUAGUGUAUAUAUGUGUUUGUGUAGGUUGAUUAGAUCUUCGCUCUCUCUCUCUCUCGCUCGCUCAAGUUCGUCAACUUUUGACUAUUCAAUGGCAGAAGGCAAGCUCGAUCUGCCGGACAAUCUCCUUGUAUCCCAUGCCCCGCCACUGGAGACAUCCUUCACGACGCCGGAUUGCUGAGAAAAUGAGAAACCCCAUAUGCUUUCUUUAGCUUCCGAGAACUGAAAUUGAACCUUUAAGCGGGUUUUUGAUUUGUGCAGGGAAGAUAAUGGACAAUUGGGGCUCGCGGCGCUCGAGCAGCUCAAGAACCUAGACUUUCAUGUCGAGUCGGCCCGGGCCGUCAAGCUGUACAACAAAAUAAAGGAGGCGUUGGCAUCAAAUGAAUUGUACCAUUUAACGGUGAUGAUAACAAUCCCAGGAAGAGAGAAAGAGAGUUUGAAUAUAAAUCUGAGGGUGUUUAUGAGAUUUUGUCAUGGGUUAAUCGGAGUCGUAAGCUCGGGGAGAAAAGGAAUGCUGAAAAGGAGAAAGCCUUGCAGCUCUCAAAGGUUUUUGUGGAACAGGACAAUAUUGGUCAAGGAGAUAGUGAAGACGAGGAACCAAGUCAGCAUACUGCUCACAAUCUGGGAGGGGUGAAAGUUCUUCAUGGCCUUGACAAAGUAAUGGAAGGUGGGGCAGUUGUUUUAACACUCAAAAGAUCAGAAUAUACUUGCAGAUGGUGACGUCAAUGAAGGUGAAGACUCGGGUGAAUGUGUAAGAAUUUCAUCCUCAUACGCCCUCUCAAUCCUUUGCAAGAAGUCAACAACCUCUGGCACUCCCCUUGAUCGGGGAUGACGACCUUGCUGAGUCGCCCUCCUAUGCUCAAUCACCCUCUUGGGAGUGGUCACUCUCUCUGGAGUCCUUGGAACCUGAACACGUCAUCGCCUCUCGCGGUUAAUGCUAGGUGUUCUUAUUCUAAAAGGACAUAACCGGAGGAUCUCAUAACCUUCCUGACAAGCCCAUCGUACCUGCCUGAUUAAUCGUCCGUUGAUGUCUUGGGUAUCAUCAUCAAUGUCGUGCAUGUCCGCCAUACUGGUCUCAAGUAUAAAUACGAAGAGAAAAGAGAAAACAUAUUCCACUAGUAAAUACACCAUAUACCCAUAAUAAUGUAUUUCCUCAUAUGAUAAAUUCUCAUGCAAAGAGGUUCAACUUCUAACACAUGGGAAGGGUCGGCAAAAUACUUUCGUAGUACCGGCACAUGAAAAGCAUUGUGAAUUCUGGAGAGAUGUGGGGGUAAAGCAAGGCGAUAAGUUAAUGAACCGAUAUGCUCCAAAAUCUCAUAAGGACCAAUAUAUUGGGGAUUUAAUUUACCCCUCUUCCCGAAACAAGUCACUCCUUUUAGGCUUUUGAAAGAAAAUGAAGUAAAUUUGAAAGAUUUGGGCUCAAAGAGAGAAAUUGGAAAAAAUUGGAGCCCCUGACAGUGCGAUCGAGCGCAGGAAACCUGUGAUCAAGCACACUACUAGAGAAGACAAGCGAGUGCGGCCAUGUGCAAUCAUGCACACAACAGAAGAGUCUCGAUCGCAGACGUGCGAUUGAGCGCACACGGGUUGCCAUCGAUCGCACCCGUGCGCAGGUGACACAUCAAGAGGCGGCCAGACUAAUAUUCUUUCCAUAUUAGGGUUUUCCAAGUCCCACUUGUAAUAGGAGUAAAACUUUACGAAUUUUUUAGGUUUACUCGUGUGUCAAAGACUUCUAAAGCCUAUAAAUAGACAUCUUAGGCACAAGCUUUGGAAAAGAAUUGAAAGAUAAAUCAAGAAGAGUUUGGGUUUUUCUUCUCUUCCACCUUUUAUGUUUAUUAUGUAGUUUAUAUUUUAAUUAAGGCUCGAUUGAAGCCCUAGUCAUGUCUUUUUAAGAUCGCAAUAUUGGCACCUUUGC